RNAcentral lists this ribosomal RNA (131 nucleotides) under Jaculus jaculus (lesser Egyptian jerboa). Lineage: Eukaryota; Metazoa; Chordata; Mammalia; Rodentia; Dipodidae. The record is from RNAcentral.
GGCUAUGGCCACAACACCCUGAACACGCUCGAUCUCAUCUGAUCUCAGAAGCCGCGCAGGGUCAGCCCUUGUUAGUACUUGGAUGAGAGAAUUAUUGAAAAUUAUUGCUGAACUACCCGCCACUAUAACCU